AAGAAAACACAGAGACAAGACAAAGACAACGUUAACAUAUGCAGAGGUCGUGGAGUGGCAGUGGUAGUGUUUGGCGGAAGAAACCAUCCUUGGACUUGGACUUGGACAUGGACACCGACCAACACCUCCCCACAUACGAUCCCCUCUCCCACGUUGCCCAGAGACACCUCUCUCGUCUCAGAUCAGCACAAAACGCCGUCCAUCUCAUCCCUCUCCUCGUUCUCUUCUGCGCCGUCGUUCUCUGGUUCUUCUCUGCUCCCACUUCUCCGUCACAUCAUCAUUAAAGAUUUCUAUUUCGGACUAUGGUCAACGCCUGCAUAAAAAGCGUGCUCUGUCUUUCCUUCACUUUUCACGAGACUCUCGGCAACGAGGAAGAAGACCUGAACUGCUUGCGGCAUCGUCUGUUUAUUAGAUUGUCUAUCAAUAGAUUGCUUAACACACCACUGGGUUCUCCCACUGCAAAGCGGAACCCACAAGGUUUGCACGUAUGGUUAGUGGAAACACACGGGGCCAUCUUUCAGCGCCAUAGGAUCUGAAAGCUUCUUCCACAGAAGGGUCUUCAGAUUUGAUUGCUCCGGCAAGCUUUUUGGCAAGAACCACCGAGUCCUCCAGUGCACAACAAGCUCCUUGUCCAAGAUUUGGGGUCAUUGGAUGCCACGCAUCUCCAACCACCACAACUCUUCCAGCAGAAGCACCAGGACUUAUGGCUGGCCAAAGCCAUCUAUCUACCAAUGGAGUCUUGAUCACAGUAUCAUCUGGUGUAGAAUCCACUAUGUUCAAUAGCUCUGAAGGCCAAUCCUUCACCAGUUCCUUAGCUUGGUUCUUCAGCACCAAUGAGUCGGUUAUUUUUGGACCUGCCAUCGAACAUAUACACAAUAUCAUGCUAGUUACAACUACAAAAAGUCAGUGAUUUCACCAUGGAUUUUGUUCGUGUUGGCAACCUGGAGAAGGACUAUUGAAGCAGAUGAACCAGUAAACUUUGGUCGGAGAAACAGGAACAAAGCCGGCGCGCAAACCUCUGCCGUAGAUGUAAUUCACUCUGGGUCGAAAAGGUUGUCCAUCAGAAUAAGACGCAAGUCCUCUGAAAGCACAGUGACCAACGUACUUGGGCUCAGGAAAUCCCAUCCACUUGGCUAUAGGUGAUCGAAUUCCAUCGCACCCUAUCACAGUCUAUUUAGAGAUUAAAUCGAUUUUCUGUUUCCAACAUUCAGUAAAUCGUAGAACACUGUAACACUAAGAUUUCAAUUAUGACCAAUCAUUGCAUUAACUAAACAUGUGAUCAAUGAUUUCCAAUGCAUGCAGCUGGAAAAUUUAGUGCUAUGCUAUGCUAUAAUAAUUACAGCACCAUGACAUGACUCACCUUUGCAAGCAGCUUUGACCCAUCCACAAGUUCCAACAAGGUAUCCCCGUCUGAAGUGGCUUCAAUCUUUGCUAAUUGUGAAGAAAAUUUAAUGGUUUCCUUUGGUAGCUGACCAGCCAAGGUUUCCAAAAGCACUCUCCUCUCCACUGCACGCACCUCUUGACUGCAUUUCAUGCCUUAAUAUAUCAAUAACCAGUGCUUGAUGACAGUUAAAAAUUGCUCGUAGUUCCCUCCCAUCCUCGGAAUUCACCACCAUCCUGUACAGCUGAUAAUGUGAACCAGAUCAAGCUCAGCCGGUAUAAAGAUUAAAAAAGAUGAAAAUUUUCCUUCAUGCGUUCAUCCAUGUACCCUUGA
Long non-coding RNA from Vigna unguiculata (cowpea), 1714 nucleotides. Lineage: Eukaryota; Viridiplantae; Streptophyta; Magnoliopsida; Fabales; Fabaceae. The record is from RefSeq and is a predicted model, not a curated record.